GCAAAACGCGAAGAACCUUACCAGGUCUUGACAUCCCAGUGACCACUAUGGAGACAUAGUUUCCCCUUCGGGGGCAACUGUGACAGGUGGUGCAUGGUUGUCGUCAGCUCGUGUCGUGAGAUGUUGGGUUAAGUCCCGCAACGAGCGCAACCCUUAUUCUUAGUUGCCAUCAUUCAGUUGGGCACUCUAAGGAGACUGCCGGUGAUAAACCGGAGGAAGGUGGGGAUGACGUCAAAUCAUCAUGCCCCUUAUGACCUGGGCUACACACGUGCUACAAUGGACGGUACAAACGGUUGCCAACCCGCGAGGGGGAGCUAAUCCGAUAAAACCGUUCUCAGUUCGGAUUGUAGGCUGCAACUCGCCUACAUGAAGCCGGAAUCGCUAGUAAUCGCGGAUCAGCAUGCCGCGGUGAAUACGUUCCCGGGUCUUGUACACACCG
This 439-nucleotide ribosomal RNA is filed under the name uncultured bacterium. RNAcentral describes it as "bacterial SSU rRNA". It matches the Rfam family "Bacterial small subunit ribosomal RNA", at positions 954 to 1392 of the family's 1533-position model. The record is from RNAcentral.